RNAcentral lists this transfer RNA (62 nucleotides) under Hoplosaenidea subcostata. RNAcentral's name for it is "tRNA-Asp". The record is from RNAcentral. Lineage: Eukaryota; Metazoa; Arthropoda; Insecta; Coleoptera; Chrysomelidae.
AAAAUUUAGUUAAAAUAUAACAUUAGUUUGUCAAACUAAAAUUAUUUAUAAAAUAAUUUUUU